GGGGAUGUAAAGGUUUCGACGGGGAUCUUGAAACGGGAUAAGCGGGCAGAGAAUGUGUCAAUCUCUUUAAACGGCACACGUUUUAAAAUUAGACGACAACAAUAAUUUUGCUUUAGCUGCCUAAGUGCGGCUCGUCAGCUCCGUAGUACCGCGGACGGAUGACUGGCGUCGACAGCGGUGAACGUCAUACGGGAUCGUCUGCGCCCGUAUUGAUGUAUUGCAGACUACUGAGCAUUGCGGCGUGUUUGUCUGCCGCUCUGCGAGGGAACGUUAAUGACAAACUACGCCCGUAGAAAGUCGCGCGGAUUGGUUUUCGGACACGGGUUCGAUUCCCGUCAUCUCCACCA
RNAcentral lists this transfer-messenger RNA (347 nucleotides) under Oscillospiraceae. RNAcentral describes it as "RGIG4694 sp934464775 Standard tmRNA". It matches the Rfam family "transfer-messenger RNA". Rfam says of the family: Bacterial tmRNA, also known as 10Sa RNA or SsrA, is named for its dual tRNA and mRNA-like properties. Its role is to liberate the mRNA from a stalled ribosome. RNAcentral also lists the same sequence under 1 other name. Lineage: Bacteria; Bacillati; Bacillota; Clostridia; Eubacteriales. The record is from RNAcentral.